CCAGGCGGGUCUACAGUGAACUAAAAUGAAUGGAAAGUGUAUUGUGUCAAUGAAAAAUGGGAGUACCGUCACUAUGAAAUAUGCCUUUCAUCCCACAUGGCAUAAUCGGAGGCUGCAGUAUUUCUGAGCUGAAGUUCUAGUGUUCCUCUGGAGCCUGCACUUUAUCGCUAGGAGAGCAUGGGAGAUAAUGUAAAGGAUAAUACAGAGCCAUUGCCUUCAAGAUGACUGUCAGAGUGCUGUUAGCCUGUCAGACCCUCCCCUGGGGGCAGGGUCAGCCUGUCCGUCAGAGCUGAUUGACACCUGAGGGGUGUAAGCUAUCAAAGCCUCUGUCAGUGAGACAGGGUAGAAAAUAGGUGUGAUGGGUGAAGAAUUACUGAGAGUUUAGGGGGGAAAAGUGAUGGAGAAGAGGUGAGAAGACGCUGAAGGCAAAAAAAAGUGAAUUGAAGCCAGUGUGAGUGGUUUUUACAUUGGAAUCCUUCCCCUUCACUGUUAUUAGACGUCAGGGGCAUACUACCCUGUUAUUAUCGACCUUUGAGUCUUGGCUCCUCUCAAGGUUUCUUCCUCAUGCUCUAGGGAGUUUUU
Long non-coding RNA from Electrophorus electricus (electric eel), 582 nucleotides. RefSeq lists it as uncharacterized. The record is from RefSeq and is a predicted model, not a curated record. NCBI's taxonomy places the organism in Eukaryota, Metazoa, Chordata, Actinopteri, Gymnotiformes, Gymnotidae.